CAGGCUUAUUAUUUUCAGUCAGGCUUAUAUCUGCCAUAAACCAGAAACACAAAUAUCAACACAAUGAUGUUUUAAACACAUACAUUGUGUUAAAUACAGUGCCAUGCAAAAGUAUUAAUCCCCUUUGCCCUUUCCUAUUUUGUUGCAUUACAAACUAAAAUUUAAAGGAUUUUCAUUUGGGUUUUUAUGUAGUGGAUAUACAUAAUACUCUAAGAUGGUGAAGUGAAAUGGUGAAGUAUAUUCACCCAUUUUACUAUGAGGCUCCUAAAUAAGCACUGGUGUUACCAAUUACCUCAAGAAGUCACAUAAUGUGUUAAAUUAAGUCCACCUGUCUGCAGUCUAAGUAUCACAUCAUCUCAGCUUAUGUAUACCUGCUCUGAAAAGCCUGUAACACCACUGAGGAGAAAUGCAGCUUCAAACAAGAAGCAUGAUGAAGACCACAGAGCUCUCCAAACAGAGCAGUGAACAAAUGUGUAUGUGGCUGUGAGCUAAGCAGAGAAUGAAUUGGUCCACUGAAGAUGAUGACCUCAGCUGACAGCCAAACCAAACAAUACACCCUGUUUAGAAAUCCCCACACCGCAGUGGGCCAGGCUAUUUCCAUUCACGAUUCUGUGCCCACACGAUCUAUUGCAGCUGCUCUGAGGGUACAACCAAAUGCUUAGUUCAAUAGGAAGUCAGAGUGUUGUGGCCUUCCUCCCUUUCUGACCUGUGCUGUGUCCAGGGUGGAAAACAGCUGACACGCCCUCCUGUAACCCCAACAGCUCAUCAAGUCAUCACAGGAACCAUCCCAGAACCACCACAGUUCACUCUUUCUGUUAGUAAUAAUAACCUUUUUGUGGUGUCAGAGAUGAGACACUGACACAUUUCAUCUUCUCCAAGGCUAAAAAUACUCUGUCAGAUCUUUUUGCUACAUAUCUUUCAUUUCUGUUCUUUUUUGGUAUGUGGUUUCCUUCUAGUAUUGUAAUAUUAAAAAGCUGAUCUCAGUUCAGUGCUUUCUCUGAUUGCUUGUGUUGUACUGUACAGUAAUUCUGUACUCAGCCACCAGCUAAUGCAGAGCCAGUAAGCUUGAACCCCAUUCCCACAUUCAGCAUCCCUCAUGACUGGAACAGUUAGUUUUUGAAAGAUAUAUUGGAUUUACUGUAUAAGGCAGACAAACAUUAACCUCUUGGUUAAUGCUUUAAAGAUUUCAUGAAGAAGCUUUGACAAUUCGGCAUUGUUCUUUUCCUCAUAUUCAUCAGACGGCUCUCGGAUGAGUCUGGAAAUCCCGCCACACCCCUUCAUACACCCACCUCUGUCAGAUCUUCCUGUGUUUACCCAGUCGAUCCUGAGUGUGUUCCACAAACAGACACAGUCAACGUGGUUUCUCUGAUUGCUACAAUACUAACAAUUGAGAAUCAACAAAAGAUUAAUCUCCAAGGAGUUUCGCUUUGUUCUGAAAAACCCAGAAUUUCUGAAAUGAUUCUGAAUGUUAAGGUCAGACCUUUGAAUCAAUAGCUAGUCCAUGUAACCUGCUGUUUUAUAAUCCACAUGAAGCUGGAAUGCUGCAGCACUAAUCAGACUGUUUCCAAUCUACCUUAUUGAUUCCCACUGCCUCCAUCUGCAACAUGUCUAAGCUUUCCUUCAGAACAAUGGGGCGAUGUGCAUCUUUUCUCUAGCAGGCUAUUACACCUCUACCCCCUCUUCCCAAAUUAACACUGCACAAGAACAGUGUGUGUUCAGUGAGAUCUUUAUCAGUAGAGACAUUGCAUUUGAGAGCACUGAUAGCUUUCUGAUGGAAAGCUGGUCUCAGCCGACAUGGAGAAUGUCAGAAGCUUUUAACAUAGCACGUUGCAAAGAAAUACAAUGUAAGCAAAUAGGAUCAUGCCAAAGCAUCAAGCUGAAAUGAGGAUUUUUUGAGAGAAAAAAGAAUUCUUUCCAGUGCUGAAUAAUCCUUCCUAGACACCUUUUCACUGCCUGGCAGUGAAAGCACUCUGUCUGUAUUUUGUGUAUAAAUGUCUUUAGUUGUUUGAAAUAGCUAAAUCUCUUUAUAGAAAUGUGUUUUGUUUUGUUUAUUACAGUAGAUAUUAAUAUGUGAAAUAUGGUAUUAUGCAAGAAGCACAACAUGCUUAUUUUUGUUUUGUACACUUUCAUAGGGCCGUAUUCAAAUCUGGUCAAUUAAACCUACUUUAAUAUUUGUGUGGAAAGUUAAGCACCCUCUUAAGUCCAUUUCCUGUAUUUGCAAAUUACCUGUGUUUGCAAUUCACACCUCUGAGGUUGCCAGAUUUCUCUGAGUAGACCUGUCUGAGACAAGGUUUUUCAACAGCACCUAGACCACUGCCAUUAAACACACAACCUGGCUUUACACCGGAAAUAAAUCACGGAUAGAAAAUGUGGAUCGAAGAAUGUAACAAUUUUUUUUGUUGUGUUUUCAUUACCAUUAAAUGUAAUACAG
Long non-coding RNA from Tachysurus fulvidraco (yellow catfish), 2431 nucleotides. RefSeq lists it as uncharacterized. The transcript has 3 exons. Lineage: Eukaryota; Metazoa; Chordata; Actinopteri; Siluriformes; Bagridae. The record is from RefSeq and is a predicted model, not a curated record.